Molecule: RNA transcript, 2924 nt
Organism: Triticum dicoccoides
Lineage: Eukaryota; Viridiplantae; Streptophyta; Magnoliopsida; Poales; Poaceae
Gene name: UV-stimulated scaffold protein A homolog
Exons: 3
Source: RefSeq, a predicted model, not a curated record
UCUCCGCCCGCCACGCCACCACACCAAACCGCCGCGAUGCCGCGUGCUUCCGGCCGGCCGCCGUCGUCCGAGCAGGGCCCGAGCGCCUCCCCCUCCACCCCGGCGGCGGAUUCCUCCGUCGCUGCCCUCAUCGACCGCGCCACCUCCACCACGGCCCCCUCCGUCGACCCCGCGCUCCUCCGCGCCAUCAAGUCCUCGGUGCGCGCCUCCGAUGGCGCCGUCCGCGACGCCUUCCGCCUCCUCCUCUCCCUCAUGGCCAAGCCCCACUCCCACGUGCGGCUCCUGGCCUUCAGCAUCGUCGACGAGCUCUUCAUGCGCUCCAAGCUCUUCCGCGCUCUCCUCGCCGACGUGCUCGACGGAUUCGUCCCGCUGGCCGUCGGCUUCCGCAGCAACGAGCAGCUCCCCCCGCCGGCAGCCUCCGCGGCCACGCUCCGGAAGGCCGCCAUCCAGGCGCUCGAGCGCUGGCACCACCUCUUCGGCGUACACUACCGCCAGCUCCGUCUCGCCGUCGACUACCUCAAGUCGUCCGCGCGCAUCCAGUUCCCCGGGCUCCGCGCGGCCGUCGAGGCCCGUGCGGCGCGGGAGGCACGCACGCAGGAGAUCUUGACUGCCAAGGUCGAACAGUUGCGGUCCACCAUUGAAUCCAUAAAGGAUGAAAUCCGGUCCACCAUCCAAGAGAUCCGCAACGGGCUGGACAUCAUCCGGGCUGAGUAUGAGAAAUUCGAGCGUUAUGCAGACGAUGAUGACGAGGAGGAGGAGAUUGCUUCGAUGGCGAUGCAGAGUAUCAGGACAGCGUCGUUGAUGGCCGGGCAAUGGGUGCCUGAAACUCAGGAAAAUGAGGCAGUUUUCGAUGCAUUGAGGGAGGCGUACCGGCUCCUUGUAUCGAAGCAUUUCAGCACCAUUCAGGAUUGGAUAUCUGUGCUUGUCAGGGUCAAUCUUGCAGAUAAUCAGUUCAGAGAUUCUGCGCUCAAGGAAUUCAUCAAUGUUAAGAAUGAAAUACGCGCUGUAAGAGGCCAGUGCAAUGAGCUUGGUCUCGAUCUUGAUAAUGUUCGUAGGAAGAAGGAUGUUCAGGAGGAAGACGAAGAGGAUUGGGUGGAGGGAAAGAUUGAAGUUCCUAGUCCUCCUAGAGUUGUGAGCACUCUAGAUGUUGCAGGUUCCAGCAAGGACAAUAGGAAGGGAAAGAGCAUGGUGAAAGGAGGCAGUGGUGACGUGCCAAAUGACGGUGAUAGAUCUCAGGAGAUGGAUCCAGAGAGAAAAAGGCUCCUUGCCGAAGCCCCUUUGGUAUCAUGGAGCUCUGUCUUGGACCGGUGGGGUUCAAAUAUGGAUGCACAUGUAAACCAGAGGGGGCUUGAGCUCGAGAGCCAUUGGGGUAGGAUGGAUAAUGAUGCUGUUAUACCUGCAGCAAAGAUUGCAGAGUUAAAUGUUCACCAUUCUGUUUAUAAAGAAGAGCCAGUUGAGAUCCUACCAUGUCAUGCACCUCUGAAGAAAGGAGGUCUUUGCCAGAGAAGGGAUCUCAAGAUAUGCCCUUUUCAUGGGCCCAUCAUCCCACGUGAUGCAAGAGGAAAUCCAAUUGGCAGAAUUGAUGGCAGUUCUGAUGCGGGAGGCGAUCUGCUUGAGCAGAAAGUAGACAUUCGUGAGGCAGGAGGAAAUCCGAUUACUAAGACAAAUGGAGGCAGUGAUAGUGAAAGUACACUGGAGGGUCAGGAGCCCUCUACUUCAAAGAUGAGAAACAUAAAUAAUGAUACCACCGACAUCGAUGGAGCACAUGAUCUGAGUAAAAUGACAAUGGACCAGCUGGCGAUGCAAGCAGUUAAGAAUGUUCGGAAAAGGGGUAUGGACGACAAAGCACGCGAAAGAGCCCAGCGUGCGAGAAUCCGCCAGCACAAUGAAGAUGUUCUGCGGCAAUCGGCUAUUGCUUCAACGCCCCACUCAGCGGCAGCAUAUGACCAGCCCUCUGGAACAUUGGGCCAACGUGGUCGACGUCGAGGUAAGACGAAGGAACCUACACUAUCAUCAAUGCUGAAGAAGAAAGUUACUGCAAAAGAUAGGAUUGCAGGGAGGCUUCUAAAUGGUCGUGCUAGGGAUGCAACAAUAAGAGAAGCUUCUAAUACUGAGGAUAUGACCUACAGGGAAGCAUUCCCAAAUCAGUGGCAGUGAAAGCACCCUGAGUAGGUCUUUCUUCAUAAUUAACGGUUUCGUUAUGUUGUGCUGUUGUGCGCUUGAGGUGCUUGAAGUACGCAGGGCUCUGAAGCUGCUUCCAGACUGUUCAUGGAAAAAUUCAGAAAAGAAAGUCCUAUACCAUUUGUUCUGGCAGUCGGAUUGGGAAUCCAAGUCAGAACAGGCACCAAUAAACCGAAAGCCGUCGAUUUUGUGAAGCAUGCCAAGCAGUUUGUCCUUGUUGCCGACCGUCCUUCCACGGUCAUCCAGCUUCUCUGGAGCUACACCAUCAACAUCCGAUAUUCUGAACUGGCCUUACAACAGCUCAGAUGUGCUUGGAACAUUGGGCUGACGUGGUCGACGUCUAGGUAAAAUGAAGGAACCUACACUAUCAUCAACGCUGAAGAAGAAAGUUACUGCAAAAGAUAGGAUUGCAGGGAGGCUACUAAAUGGUCGUGCUAGGGAUGCAACAAUAAGAGAAGCUUCUAAUACUGAGGAUAUGACCUACAGGGAAGCAUUCCCAAAUCAGUGGCAGUGAAAGCACACUGAGGAUAUGCUCCAGUGUUUAGCUUGGUACUGCCAUCUUGUGUGCAGUGUGGUUCUUAAUUUCUGUAGUAGAUAAUGUCAGCUCAACUUUUUUUUCCCCUGUUCUGUAUUUAACCCAGCAACUGAGUCUUAGUAUAUGUUGUGCCUCACUGUUCUUCUCCAUAAGCUUUGUAAUUUUGCAAUGUCUUGUAACUUCUUUGUUGCCGGAUUCCUGGGCAUGA